This is a non-coding RNA of Dipodomys ordii (Ord's kangaroo rat), 202 nucleotides long. The record is from Rfam. Lineage: Eukaryota; Metazoa; Chordata; Mammalia; Rodentia; Heteromyidae.
GAACUGGAGGCCUGGUUCAAUUGGUAAGCACUUGCUUAGAUCAAGUCCCAGUAGCUCUAAAAAUAAUUAUAAUAAAUAAUAAAUAAACAAACAAUGUUAAAUGUUUAACUUGGGGCAAGUCUGUACUUUUUCCUUUAACAAUGUUGCUUUCAGAGACAAAGCAUGGAAUGGAUGGAUAAGUCACUAUCGAAACUAAAAUAGA